Molecule: long non-coding RNA, 2754 nt
Organism: Pipistrellus kuhlii (Kuhl's pipistrelle)
Lineage: Eukaryota; Metazoa; Chordata; Mammalia; Chiroptera; Vespertilionidae
Exons: 3
Source: RefSeq, a predicted model, not a curated record
AAUUGGGGUUGGGGUGGGAGAGGAUUCAGAGCAGGUGCCCCUGAGGAAAUGGUGCUGACUUAGGAUGAGAGCAAACAUUGAGCAAGUAAGGAAGGGCAAACGGUAUUCCAGGCAGAGAGAACAGGCUGUGCGAAGACCCUGAGGUGGGAGGGUGGAUGAACAAAGAGACUAGGCACUGACACCCUCCGUGUGAUGGGAGCAGAGGGAGGCCGGGGCUGGAGAUGGGGGUGGGGGGAGGCGGUGCACAGAGCAUGCAGGGCCUCCCAGGCCGUCUUGAAGGGUCAGGUCUUUAUCCCUAGGAUGAUGAAAGCAGGGGAAGGGGGUGGGGGGCAAGUAUUGGGGCCCGGAGACACUUCCGCUCAGCCAGAUCGUGGAAUAAGCUCGGCAUUCUUAAAGGGAUGACUCACCUCAUGAGCUUUGGAGAAUGAGUAAGAAGCCGACAAUUAGGGGAGGAGGGGGAGUGAGAUGCAAAUUCCCUGGGUAGGGCCCAACUGCAACAAAUACAUUGACAACCUUCAAAUUCUUUUGGUCCCAACUCUAGCGGUGUUCAUGGGAAAAUGGCAGGCCGGCUGUGUCCAGGACAGAGAGGGGGUGGCAAACAGCGCAGCCGUAAGCUGGGAAAUGGAUAGUUCAGACACGGAUUGCAGGUGGCUCGCCCUAGCAGCGCGGCGAGAGGAUGAGGAGGAGGUAGGAGUGCAGACAAGGAGAUCUUCGAGCGGAAUGUUAAUCGCCCAAACCAGGCUGGAAUUGGGAUGGAGCAUGCAGCGUGCCUGGGGACGUAUUUAGGAGGGAAGGCGAGGAGGCUAGAUCUAGGGCGACGGGGCGGGCGGCAGCGCCAUCUCGGAGAUGGACUGUAAUAGGGGCCAGACGCGGGAAGUCAGAGGUGCGUGCGGGGCAAGCCAAGUGGAACUGUCCGGACGCAAUGGGAUGGGCGUGCCAGGGGCUGCGGAGGGGGGAGAGCUGGGUGUGGGAGGCGCCUCCUGUGCGUGGUUAUUAACCACUCACAGCAGCAAAUGAGCUAGUCCGGGAGGGCGGGGAGGGGAAGGAGAAAGAAGCUGAGCAGGUCGCCGGAGGAGCAUCCGUGAUGGCAUUGGGGCAGGUCUGGCGGAGAGAAGAACCGGAGGGGAAAGAGCACGCAGACGCUGAGUGGCCCCGCGUCCCGCUGCAGGGGCGCCGGGGAAGGUGUGGCAUCGCGGGCUUCUCCGCCAGACUGCAGGCGGAGCCCGAGCGCGCUCGGUUCAAGCAGGCAUUGCAGAGCCAAGCCUCGACCGCGGCCUCCUCGCGCUGCUCCUGCUGCCCUGGCUGCAGCCGCCGGGGACGGCAGGGCCACCCCGGCCAUCCCCCCACCCCAGACUCCCCGCCACCCCAGGCCGCGCCUCCCGGCCUCCCGCGGACCCGGCGACGUCACUGCGGCUCUGACGCCGCUCAUGGGGGCACAGGCGGGGCGGCUCGGGGCGCGGUGUCCUCUCGGGAGGUCCUGGUCCUUGCAGCUCGCGACCCCGUCCUUGGCCCUCCUCCAAGGGAACCUCGAUUUUCCAAACUCGGGAGGGCGGCUGUCCUUCGGCAACUGAUAAGGACUGAGCUCCCAGGGAAAGAUUGUAGCAAAGCCCGGGAAGAAAGAGCAGGACCCAAGAAAGAGACACUUAAUAGGCGCCACCUAAGAGUUUUCUGCAGGCUCAGCGGACUGUAAGACCAGUAAGAACGACAACCACCACAAUAGCCACCUUUUAUUGAGCGCUUCCUGGGUGCCAGGUGCGGUGGUAAGCGCUUUGCAGGCACCAGCCCUGGAAGGAGGAGGAGGUGGUUAAGGAAGGAGCAAAUAGAUGAAAAAAAUCUAUUUUUGAUGCAGCUGCAAUGUGUUGAGCGCUCGUUUUGUGCUGUCCUUCCUGUGCCUUGAGACCUUAAUCCUCACUGCAGGCAUGAGAGGUGUGUGUGCAUCAUUAUUCUCACUUGACCAAUAAGGUCACACGACUGGUAAAUGGCGAUGCGGGGAACCCACUAGCGGUGGUCUGACAUUCCAACCGUGUCCCCAUCACCCAGAAAGCACAAGCUGAUACAACCAAACAGAAGAGGACACCAUGGGGCCUGGAACUAUGGCAGUCCUCUUACCAACAGCCUAAGAAUGGGGCUACACAUAAGUAGGGCAGAGCUGAGAGAAUCUCGGGGAAAUAGAGUCAGUUUCUGGACUAAACUCUAAAGCCCACAGUCUUAGUCUGCUUGGGCUGCCACAGACCAGGUUGCCUAAACAACAGAAAUUUAUUUUCUCACCGUCCUAAGGGCCAGAAGUCCAAGAUCAAGGUGCCAUCAGGAUUGGUUUUGAGGAGGCCUCUCUUCCUGGUUUGUAGACAGCCACCUUCUCACUGUGACAUCACAUGGCCUCUUCUCCAUGUGUGUAAGCUCUGGUGUCUCUUCCUCUUCUUUAAAGAUACUAGCCCAGGUGAAUUAAAAAGCUCCACCUUUAUGACCUCACUUAACCUUAAUUACCUCCUUAAGUACCCUAUCUCCAAAUACAGCCAUAUGGAAAGUUGAGGCUUCAAUUUAUAAAUUUGGGAGGGGGGCAUGCACAAUUCAGUCCAUAACACUCACCCUACCUCUGGGUUUAUGUGUAUGUGAUCAAAUAAAUAUACUUCUGUUGAAGCUAGCUUGAGUUGGUUUUCCGUCACAACUUACCCUACAGUGUUUCACUCCUCUGUAUCCCUGCUGGGCCUGGUCCAGAAAGGGUCAAUAAAUAUUUGUGAAAUGAAUGCCAGUAGC